This 434-nucleotide ribosomal RNA is filed under the name uncultured bacterium. Its description in RNAcentral is "partial 16S ribosomal RNA". It matches the Rfam family "Bacterial small subunit ribosomal RNA", at positions 39 to 507 of the family's 1533-position model. The record is from RNAcentral.
GGGGGGGGGGGGGGGGGGGCGGGGGGCGGGGGGGGCGAGCGGGCCGGGCGGGGGGGGUGGCGGGCGGGUGGGUGGCACGGGGGAACGUGCCGUGAGGUGCGGGAUAACUCAGGGGAACUUGUGCUCAUACCGAGUGGGGCCGGCGGGGGAAAGAUUUAUCGCCUUGAGAGCUGCCCGCGUCUGAUUAGCUAGUGGGUUGAGGUACUGGCCCACCAAGGCGACGAACAGUAGCUGGUCUGAGAGGAUGAUCAGCCACAUUGGGACUGAGACACGGCCCAAACUCCUACGGGAGGCAGCAGUGGGGAAUCUUGCGCAAUGGGCGAAAGCCUGACGCAGCCAUGCCGCGUGAAUGAUGAAGGUCUUAGGAUUGUAAAAUUCUUUCACCGGGGACGAUAAUGACGGUACCCGGAGAAGAAGCCCCGGCUAACUUCGUG